Molecule: ribosomal RNA, 425 nt
Filed under: uncultured bacterium
Lineage: Bacteria
Description: bacterial SSU rRNA
Rfam family: Bacterial small subunit ribosomal RNA
Source: RNAcentral
GGGGAAUUUUGGACAAUGGGCGAAAGCCUGAUCCAGCCAUUCCGCGUGCAGGAUGAAGGCCCUCGGGUUGUAAACUGCUUUUGUACGGAACGAGAAAGCUCCGGCUAAUACCUGGAGUCCAUGACGGUACCGUAAGAAUAAGCACCGGCUAACUACGUGCCAGCAGCCGCGGUAAUACGUAGGGUGCAAGCGUUAAUCGGAAUUACUGGGCGUAAAGCGUGCGCAGGCGGUUUUGUAAGACAGAGGUGAAAUCCCCGGGCUCAACCUGGGAACUGCCUUUGUGACUGCAAAGCUGGAGUGCGGCAGAGGGGGAUGGAAUUCCGCGUGUAGCAGUGAAAUGCGUAGAUAUGCGGAGGAACACCGAUGGCGAAGGCAAUCCCCUGGGCCUGCACUGACGCUCACGCACGAAAGCGUGGGGAGCAAAC